This 813-nucleotide ribosomal RNA is filed under the name uncultured bacterium. RNAcentral's name for it is "bacterial SSU rRNA". It matches the Rfam family "Bacterial small subunit ribosomal RNA", at positions 8 to 808 of the family's 1533-position model. The record is from RNAcentral.
AGAGUUUGAUCCUGGCUCAGGAUGAACGCUAGCGGCAGGCUUAACACAUGCAAGUCGAGGGGCAGCGGGGAGGAAGCUUGCUUUCUCCGCCGGCGACCGGCGCACGGGUGAGCAACACGUAUGCAACCUGCCCCUGUCAGGGGGACAACCCGCCGAAAGGCGGGCUAAACCCGCGUACAUGCCACCGGGGCAUCCCGGAGGCAGGAAAGGCUUCGGCCGGACAGGGAUGGGCAUGCGGCGCAUUAGGCAGUAGGCGGGGUAACGGCCCACCUAACCGACGAUGCGUAGGGGUUCUGAGAGGAAGGUCCCCCACACUGGUACUGAGACACGGACCAGACUCCUACGGGAAGGCAGCUGUGAGGAAUAUUGGUCAAUGGUCGGGAGACUGAACCAGCCAAGCCGCGUGAGGGAUGAAGGUACAGAGUAUCGUAAACCUCUUUUGUCAGGGAACAAAGGCGGGGACGCGUCCCCCGGAUGAGUGUACCUGAAGAAAAAGCAUCGGCUAACUCCGUGCCAGCAGCCGCGGUAAUACGGAGGAUGCGAGCGUUAUCCGGAUUUAUUGGGUUUAAAGGGUGCGCAGGCGGUCUGUUAAGUCAGCGGUCAAAGCCCGGGGCUCAACCCCGGCCCGCCGUUGAAACUGGCAGUCUCGAGUUGGAGAGAAGUAUGCGGAAUGCGCGGUGUAGCGGUGAAAUGCAUAGAUAUCGCGCAGAACUCCGAUUGCGAAGGCAGCAUGCCGGCUCCACACUGACGCUGAGGCACGAAAGCGUGGGUAUCGAACAAGAUUAGAUACCCUGGUAGUCCACGCAGUAAACG